UGGGGGAUAUUGCACAAUGGGGGGAAACCCUGAUGCAGCGACGCCGCGUGAGGGAAGACGGUCCUCUGGAUUGUAAACCUCUGUCUUCGGGGACGAAAGAAGACGGUACCCGAGGAGGAAGCCACGGCUAACUACGUGCCAGCAGCCGCGGUAAUACGUAGGUGGCAAGCGUUGUCCGGAAUUACUGGGUGUAAAGGGAGCGUAGGCGGGCAGGCAAGUCAGGCGUGAAAUAUAUCGGCUCAACCGGUAUCGGCGCUUGAAACUGCAGGUCUUGAGUGAAGUAGAGGUUGGCGGAAUUCCUAGUGUAGCGGUGAAAUGCGUAGAUAUUAGGAGGAACAC
RNAcentral lists this ribosomal RNA (339 nucleotides) under uncultured Acetanaerobacterium sp. RNAcentral describes it as "bacterial SSU rRNA". It matches the Rfam family "Bacterial small subunit ribosomal RNA", at positions 355 to 709 of the family's 1533-position model. The record is from RNAcentral. Lineage: Bacteria; Bacillati; Bacillota; Clostridia; Eubacteriales; Oscillospiraceae.